Sciurus carolinensis (gray squirrel) is the source of this 1921-nucleotide long non-coding RNA. RefSeq lists it as uncharacterized. Lineage: Eukaryota; Metazoa; Chordata; Mammalia; Rodentia; Sciuridae. The transcript is spliced from 3 exons. The record is from RefSeq and is a predicted model, not a curated record.
GACAGGUUUGGGCUCCCAGCUACCUGGGCACCCGCCGAGAGCUGGAGCGUAGGAGGCAGGGGCGGAGGCCUGGGGAGGGGCAGGGCCUGGGCCUGACGCCCUUGGCUGUGGGGAAACCUGAGCUCCCCUCCCUCCCCAGAUGCUGGGCCGGGGCUGUGUAGGAGCAGGUCCAGGCGGCGGCUGACGAUUAUCGGGGUGGCCCGAUUUCAAUCUGGUAAAACAGCCACCCAGUGCAGCCCUGCCAGGGGGCUCAAAGACCAGAUGACAGGCCAAGGGAACCUCUCACUUUCCCUGCUUCCUCUGGGACCUGCUCUGUCCCGGGGGGUCAUGCCCAGCCAGGCAGCCAGGCCAACUUGGAACAGAGGGGCACCUGACAGGCAGGGCAAUCCCAGUAGGGGAGGGCAAACCUGGUAAGGGUGUGCCCUUCCGCCCAGCCUCGCCCCACCCAGGCUGGAGGGACUGAUCAGGGAGAUGCCCAGGGAUGUGCCUCCACAGGCCUCUGUCCUGUAAAUGGCUUUUGCCGAGUGCCCCAAAAGUUGCCAGCAGCAGAUCAGGUCAUGCGGAAAUCUCACUGAAUGGGCGGAGGAGGUCCUGGUGAACGCCAGAAUCAGUCCCAAAGGCCACCCCUGAGGAGCUGACAGGAGGAGCAUCUCCCGGGCACGCUGGGCACGCAUCAAAGUCAACCUUGUGCAGAUGUGCCUGUUGACAAGAAACGAUGCGUCAAUAAAGAACAAGUAGCAGGUUCCAGAACAGCGCAGGGUGCGGAGCCGUGAACAGGACGGUCUCUGGAGAAACGCGAGUGAUUUUAAAUUCUCUUGCUCAGCCGUGCAUCCUCAUUUCUGUGCACUGAGCACCUGCCACCAUGUCUCAAGGCCUAAUAGGGGUUCACGAGUUUUCACACCAGUCCCUCCGCUAUUGGGGGCCCUGCUGGGAGGGGCUGGCUCGAUGGUUUGGGGUAAACUUGGGACCCCCAAGUUUAGUCCAGGGCAGUAGCUCGGGACUGGUUUACGAGGUGGGUGAGAGGCCUGGGGAUCGGGGCCUGCCCGGUGGAGUGAGUGAUGAAGAGUCUGAUGUUGGAAUGGCGGGCAGCAGGUUCCUGAGCCUUCCGGUCGCUUCCACUGCAGCUUUCUCAGAGCUGGGGAACAAGAGUGCCCAGCCAUAGAGUCCACUUAAUAACGGGGUGCGGAUGGGAAAUGGAACCUCAUCAAAGAGUGAUUCAGAGUUGAGGAUCAGCACUGUGCAGAUGGAAAUAGCUCUUGCCUGGCUCAAUAUAACCCACCUAUGGGGAAAUUAGUAACUGCCAUUGAGGCUUCCUGGACUUUCUGCACACUGGUGGCACAGAGGUUGAGGUCGCAGCUCUGAGGGAGGACCGAAAUCCUCGAGGACUUGGGAAAUAAGCAGAUGUCUUUAUGUGUACUUGGAAGGUGAGAUUGCCCUCAGAAGAAACUCCGAGCCUCUUCCUCGGCCUGGGGGCAGGAAGGCUGAUGAAGGUACCGAAUUCACCUGUCGACAGGUGGAGCAAUAGAGGCCUGGAUGAAGAGGUUUCCUGAAUCAGGGGCCAGGCCGGAGUCAAUCCCUAGGUCUCCUUGAGCAGGUUCCUGAUGGAACAAUCCAUCAUCAGAUCUGCUGGGGAGCACAGGAGGACUCAGGCCGGCGACGGAGUGGCUGCUAUAAUCGGAUGUUGCGUUAGCCUACAAAAGCCGAUUUCAUAACUCGGUUUUGGAAGACUCAAGGAAUUUCUCGGAAUCUGUACUACAGGGGUCUGGGUAUACUUACGCGCCAUGAGGUUGAAAAACCACGAAGUCUGGCCAUCGUAAGUCAGAGGCCAUCUGCACAGAGAUAUGUUCUCCUGACUGGAGAAAUGGAAAGCGAAUGGAAGUCAGCAAUAGAUAGAAAAGUUCCCAGACGAAAAUUCUGUGCA